Manduca sexta (tobacco hornworm) is the source of this 572-nucleotide RNA transcript. RefSeq lists it as uncharacterized. Lineage: Eukaryota; Metazoa; Arthropoda; Insecta; Lepidoptera; Sphingidae. The record is from RefSeq and is a predicted model, not a curated record. The transcript is spliced from 5 exons.
AUGGCACUCGUAUAUAGCUGUUGUUUUGGUUUUCUCUGAGAUUAGGAGGAAUAUUAAUUGGGAUCUUCUCAUUGGCAAGCGCGCAACUUUUAAGGUAUAUCGUGUUUAUGAUAACUUUAAUAUGUAUAUACAUACUGGUUUGCUUGCUGUUUAUUUAUGGCGCGUAUACGUGCAAUAAUGUUUUAUUGGUUGCCUACAUUUUAUUGGAACUCCUUCGUCUCAUUGUUAUUUCAAUCAUAGUAGCUACUGGUUUAUUACUAUUGAAACAAAACACAAUGGACAUUGGUAUUCUUAUUGGUGCAAGUGUAGCCGGUGGAUUUCUAUUAUUGGGGAUGUUUUACUUAUGGAUAUGCGCUGCGAAUCUCCCGGUCUUGAUAAACGAGAUGGAACGUGAUGAUCAGUCCGAUACAAUCACAAAAUUGCGUGAAAUUCUGGAAGCAAAAAAUCAGAGAAACGACUUACUAGGAUUCCACAGUACGCCUAGAAAAUCAAAAAUAUUACUUAAACCAACUAACGGAAUACCUCAUAAUAUGAAGUCAAACCAUGUGCCUGCACAAAUAUAUGUUGGUUAA